UGCCGGUUGGAUAUGCGCCGAUCGGAACAUAAUUUCCAAGCGUGAUUAGGUGAUGGUGCUGAAAUUCUGGAAAUCGAAUCUGAAGCGGGAUCGAUGCGUCAAAAGAGCGCCGUGUUUUCGCAAUUGUGCAACGAAAGCUGUGCGUUGGCCGCCCAUCCCCCCCGGGUAAUCGAUGAUCAGCCAGUGUACACGGUGAGACGCCUCUUGAAGGUUCGACCACGGGGCAGGGGUAUCCAGUACCUGGUUGACUGGGAGGGUUAUGGCCCAGAGGAGAAGUGCUGAGUUCCUGCUAAAGACAUCUUGGACCCGGCCCUCAUCACCGAAUUCCACCGCCGUCAGCCAGUCCUCCCGGUUUUGACCCUUGCCUGUUUCUGGACUCUGUACCCGCCUGCCUGCCUUGACCACGAGCCUGUCUGCCAUGCUGUACCUCCUGGACUCCUGGUUUUGACUUUGUGCCUGUCCAUGGCCAUUCUCUUGCCUACUUCUUUUGGAUUAAUGAACAUUGUAAGACUCCAACCAUCUGCCCCGUGUCUGCAUCUGGGUCUCGCCUUGUGUCAUGAUAUAGUUCCACUUUAAAACAGUUAGAGUUUAAUGGCUGUGAUAGGAGAACUGAGGAUGGAUCAACAACAUUGUAGGUACUCCACAAUACUAACCGAGAGUGAAAAGAAGGAAGCCUGUACAGAAUACAAAUAUUCCAAAACAUGACUGCUGUUUGUAACAAGGCACUAAAGUUAUACUGCAAAAUAAUUGGCAAAGCAAUUCACUUUUUCACCUGAAUACAAAGUGUUAUGUUUGGGGCAAAUCCAACACAUUACUGAGUGCCGCUCUCCAUAUUUUCAAGCAUGGUGGCUGAAUCAUGUUAUGGUAUUAUUGUAAUCAAGGCCUAUGGCGUUUUUCAGGAGAAAAUGGAAUGGAGCUAAGCACAGGGGAAAUCAUAGAGGAGAACCUGGUUUCCACCAAAAAUGUCUAAAAACACGUGUUAAUUUAGUCAUUAUGGGUAAAUGGGUGAGGGGGGGGGGGAAUCUUUUUAAUCCAUUUUUUGAAUUCAGGCUGUAACACAACAGAAUGUGGAAUAAGUCAAUGGGUGUGACUACUUUCUGAAGGCACGAUGUCACGACUCCUACCGAAGGUGGCUCCCCUUCCUGUUCGGGUGGCGCUCGGCGGUUGUCGUCACCGGCCUACUAGCUGCCACGGAUCCCUUUUCCCCCUUUUCUGUUUAUUAGUUGCACCUGUGUUUAGUUUAGGAUAAUUGGUUGGGCUUUAUUUACCAGCCGGCUAGUUGUGCGGGAUUGUUUUCAGUGUACAUGUUGUACACGGCUGUAGGUCACGGUUGUCCGUGUAUUUGUAUUUUGCUGGACUGUUUAAGUUCCCCGUGUUUGGGGCAUUUGUUUGGGUUGGUGUCGUUUCACCAUUGUGGUGCAAAUAAAGUAGCGCUAC
Molecule: long non-coding RNA, 1437 nt
Organism: Oncorhynchus keta (chum salmon)
Lineage: Eukaryota; Metazoa; Chordata; Actinopteri; Salmoniformes; Salmonidae
Exons: 3
Source: RefSeq, a predicted model, not a curated record